GGCCGCAGAAUUUUAACUGUGCAAAGGUAGCAUAAUCACUAGUUUUUUAAUUGAAAGCUUGAAUGAAUGGUUGGACGAGGUAUUAGCUGUUUCAUAUUAAAUUUUAGAAUUUUAUUUUUUGGUAAAAAAGCCUAAAUUUUUUUAAAAGACGAGAAGACCCUAUAGAUCUUUAUAUUUAAGAUAUUAUUAUUUGUUAGGAUUAUUUGGGUUAAUAAUGUUUUGAAUAUUGUGCUGGGGUGGCAGAGAAAUUUAUCUAACUUUUUCUAUUUAUGUACAUUUAUUUUUGAUGUUAGUGAUCCUUUAUUUAAGAUUAGAAAUUUAAGUUACCUUAGGGAUAACAGCGUAAUCCUUUCGGAGAGUUCAUAUCGAUGAGAGGGGUUGCGACCUCGAUGUUGGAUUAA
RNAcentral lists this ribosomal RNA (401 nucleotides) under Machimus gonatistes. Its description in RNAcentral is "partial large subunit ribosomal RNA". It matches the Rfam family "Bacterial large subunit ribosomal RNA", at positions 1929 to 2540 of the family's 2925-position model. The record is from RNAcentral. Lineage: Eukaryota; Metazoa; Arthropoda; Insecta; Diptera; Asilidae.